Cyanistes caeruleus (blue tit) is the source of this 1820-nucleotide long non-coding RNA. NCBI's taxonomy places the organism in Eukaryota, Metazoa, Chordata, Aves, Passeriformes, Paridae. The record is from Ensembl.
UUAUAUUUUUGUCUAUUGUUAUAUGAAGGUUCUAUGCCAAUUUUUAAAGUAACCAGCAGCAUUUAAUUGGAAUUAUAGUCUGGGAACAUGAAGGGGAAGGGAAGUUUUGACUCAGUAAUAUAUGGGCUCUUUUUCAGUCCUAUUUUAUUUCUAUAGUUGUACUUCAGAUCUCUUCCUUUCAGUGUGCUUGGUUUUUUAAAUAACUGUAUAUUGUUUAUAUACAAGUAAGCUUGCAUAUCUUAUCUUGGCAUGGGAUAUUCACUCAGAUGUGGAAGCAAGGAAGUCUUAAGUCUCACUGCACAACCACAGCGAAAGAAACCACAAGACAAUUCCUACAAACUUCCCCAGGAUAGAACAAGCUUUAGAAGAACCAGAUCAGCAUUUGAAAACAAUAGAAUCACAGGUCUCAAAAUGCAGAGAUAAUAGGUUUGGACAGAUGUGACUGUAAUGUUGUCAGCUGCUGCUAUUCCAUAUCAAGCCUCUAAUAUUUGCUGUUUAUCCUUCAAGCCAAAGCCUGUGAAGACCAGUGAUUAGAAGCAAAUAUUAGCUGGUUUUUUUUGGUUUGUAACGGAGAUUCUGAGAAAAUCUUGAAGUCAUGACAAAAAGGUACACUAACAGUUAAAAAUACACACAACAAAAAUAGCCAGCAACUGUUUAUUUUAAAUCUCAGAUUUUUUAUGACCAACUGUUUCAAGACCAGAGCUAUGGUUUACUUGUGAUACACGGUUUGCAUGUGAUAACUAAAUGAUGUAACUGAGGGCAGAAAUUGGUCAAUGGAUUCUUGUAAAUUAUGAUGGUAAAAGGAAGGAAUUAAGUAGCUUGAAAUUCAGAUUGUAUUUCCAGAGAUCCAACAGGGAUUUUGUCAGUUCUUUUAAAUCUGGAGCUUUUUUCCCCGACAGAUAUUUUCCCAUAAAAGUAUUUUGUAAUUGGAAGGGAAAAAACUAAACAAACAAAAACCCUCACCGAAUAGUCAGAAGGCAUUGUGAUACAAAAACUACUAAAGCCCUGAGUUACUCUGACUUUUUUCAGGAUGUAACAAUUUUUAGUAUGAGAACUGUAAGGAAAAUCAUAAAACAAGCUGUAUGCUAAGAUUUGCAAAACUGCAGUGCAAAGAAAUCAAGAUGGGCAAAUUUUUUUCAGUUUUAUGUAAAUCAGAGUCUUUCUGACUUCUGCUUCUGAUAUUUAGAAGUCUCUUAUUUUUCCUUGUCUCUCACACCUUUGCUGGAAGUGCUUCCUGUUGCAGGAGCUGAUUCACAUAUGUUUUCUUAGGUCCAGGUGACUAGCAGCUGUUUCAAUCUUUGUCCUAGUUAAACUGACCAAUACUUGGUGACAGCUAGGUACCAGAAAAGAGCAUUUUCUUGUCCUUUGUUGAUUAUUACAGCCUAUACAUCAGGCAAGAUUGCUUUUGAUUGCAAUGAGAUGAUAGAAGGAAGAAAGCAAUUUCCAGCUGUGAGUUUUAAUUUCUGUUGUUUGGCAGAUUCCUCCCUUAUUUUUCUCAUUUAUAGAAUGAGUGUUUGUUUUUUUUUCUUAAGAAAAGUACAAAGCUUCAAGUGAGGAUGGCACUAAUUUUUGAAUUCUGGUCUGCUAUUUUAGGCUAUGACAACCAAGGGAAAGGCAAUCACACUUGGCAUGUCAAUCACCAUUAUUUCUUUUGCAUGAUAGCCUCCAUGACUAGUUUUAAUGACUGCAGUUUCUAAUUUGUAGCUACUUGAUAAACACUAAUUAGCUAUUGGGCAUAAAAGUCUUAAUGGGCUGAAAAGAAAUAUCUGGGUAUCCUGCUAAGCCAGUAAAUAAAGGAAUAUAUAACAAUUAUGGUGACA